CCAGGUUCGUCGUCUGACAACAAGUAAUCACACUGCAGCAGCGCUCGGCAGAUUCAUCACCGUGGAUACCAUACAGCAGCAUCUCGUUGAUUGUUGUAAUAUGCCGUAUGGUCAGUAAUUGACCAUCUCUGCGUGGAUUUAUCAGCCUGGUUUCGGACUUUUAAGAUUCAACGUGUUGUGAUCAGUGUCCAUGUUAUGAAUCAUGUGUGUCACUUAUCCAUAAGCUGCCACAUCAGUUCCUGCAUUUUCCUCUCAAACAUAGUGUCUACUCCAUCAGGUUAUUGACAAGGUUGCUGCAAAUGAUCACCGCCAUACCCUAACCCCUUGGACAGUCUUAAUCAUAAGUGGUGGCUUCGUCUAAGGAAAGAUUCUUGUACAUGUCGUGUGGCUGCUCUGCUAAGCUGUGCACAAUGGAGGUUCUGUCCAUGAUCAAGCACAGCCUUGUGGCAGAUGGCAGCAACCCAAUUACCAAGUACUUCCAGAUAGGGAAACAUGUGGCCAGUGCUGGACCGGAGCUUGUUUGGAAAAUAUUCGAUGCUGUUAGAAUUGAGGAUAAACAGGAAGCCUCAGUUUUUAUAUUCGAGAAGCGAGUUGCUGACAAACUUCAUAAGCCGCGGAGAAGGGAAACAGUUGCUGAAAUUUUACGAAAGGAGGUCAAACAUUUGGAGAAGUACAAACACCCAAAGAUUCUUCAGUUAAUGCAUCCCCUUGAAGAAUGCCAUGACAGCUUAGCCUUUGCUACGGAGCCUGUUUUGGGAAGCUUGGCUAAUUUCCUUGGAAACUCCGAAAGAAUGCCGAACCCAUUGCCACCAGAGAUCAAGGACAAUGAAUUUUUAGAAGUGGAAGUCAAAUAUGGAAUCCUUCAGAUAACUGAAGCACUCACAUACCUACAUGGGGGUGAGCAGCUCCUACACAGUAACAUCAACCCACAGUCCAUAAUAAUCACUAGAAAGGGUGCUUGGAAGUUAUCAGGACUUGGUUUUGCUGAGAAAACAGCUGAUGGAAAGGACUCAUUCCAAUGUACUCCAUGGACUAACAAGUCACCUAAGAUGGCCCAGCCUGACCUCGACUACAUCGCACCUGAGCUUCAAUUGGAGAAGAAUUGUACAUUCUUAUGUGAUAUGUUCUCUUUGGGCUUGGUGAUAUGUGCCAUAUAUAACGGUGGCAAGUCACUACUCGACUCUAAUAAGAAUACAACGCAAUAUGCAAAGAAGGUUGAACAGCUUCAUGAGUCUUUUGGUGAGGUAGCACACAAACUGCCUCUUGCAUUGGUCGAGCCGGUUGAAAAAAUGAUCAACCGUGAUAUUCGCUAUCGACCAACGGCUCAACUCUUCUCGUUGGUAAGUGCGGGCGUGCUUAAGUACUUCAGCGACCCAGUGGUAAAGUGUUUGCAGUACCUUGAUGUUAUUGAGCAGUCGGACAUGGCGGAUCGGUUAGAAUUUUAUUCGGGUUUGCCUGGAAUUAUUCCGACCAUACCAAAGAAAGUCCAAUAUCAACAUGUCUUCCCUGUACUGAAGGAGCAGAUGAGAGCACCUGACAUGCUGGCCCAUGUUUUCCCUUCGAUAUUGGCAAUGAUACAGAAUGCAACCAUGGAGGAGUAUAAGACCAAAAUGUUCCCUGGUGUACAGCGAGUGUUCCUUAUGCCCAAACCUGUGCAGGCUACAGUUGUAUUGCUUGAUAAUCUUGACAUCAUCCUUGCCAAGACACCAAAGGAAGAUGUAAAGACGGAAGUCAUGCCGCUUGUGUUCAAUAUGCUUGACUCAAACUCUGCCCAAGGACAGGAAGCAGCUUUGAACACAAUAGCAGCCAUCCAGGAAUACUUGGAUGAAUAUGUGAUGAAGAAGAUGGUGUUGCCCAAGGCCAAGAGCUUGUUCAACAAAUCUUCAAAUAUAAAGAUGAAGAUAAAUGCUCUCCUAUGUAUAGACAAACUUCUGGAUAAGUUAGAUAAGAUGAUAAUCUUGGAUGAGGUCUUGCCCUUCCUCACUGAUAUAACUACAUAUCAAGAUACCGAAAUUUUAAUGGCUGUGAUAGGUAUAUAUAAACAUAUGCUAAGUGACAGGAAAUUUGGUCUAACGCACAACUUGAUUGCAUCCAAAGUGAUGCCACCGCUUAUACCAUGUACGGUUUCUCCUGGGCUCAAUAUGGAACAGUUUGGUACCCUGAUGGAAGUGUUGAGAGAGAUGUUGGAGCAGAUAGACAGGCAACGACGCAAUAAGAUGAAAAUGGAGCGAAUGAAUUCUGAGGGAUCAAUCACGUCACGCCCUACUAUCAAGAUGCAUCUGAGUGUUGAGAAGCCAGAUUUAAGCCAACAGACAUUGGAUCGUCAGAGCAAUAAGAACUAUCUAUGUGUUGACGAUGCUGUACCAAUACAGAAAGUUAGGACGGUGCUGCAUGAGGACUCCAAUCUUGACUCCCCUGAAACCCCUGAAUUACUUAAGAGUUUGCUCAAUAUACGCACAGCAAAUGCCAACAUGUCCAACUCGGUCAUCCGCUACAACCCGAAGCGUCGCCACUCUUCGGCCGGGCUGCCCAUUCAUCUGUCCGCAUUAUUGGGGCAGUAUAAAGAGUACAAAGCUCCUCCACCAGCCCCAAGUACUCCGGAGAUCCAACAGAGGGCAAUGACAGGUGGUGUCUCAAGUAACCCUCUACCACGGCGACGACAUUCCAGUGUACACGGACUUGGGACAGGGCCAAAUAAUGUGCAGAAAGCCAUUGUUGUCCAAGAUCGGAUCACAGACCGGCGCUGUAGCCUUUUGAUACCUGAAGGUGUCCGCAACACACAGCAGUUCAACCCGAAUAUGCUCCUGCCUGACUCACAUCCAGAUGCACCAUUGAAUAGACGUCUCAGCACUCAGAGUCUCGGACCAGUGGUUGUUCCAGACGACAAAAGUUUGAAUAUUCCCGCCAACCGCCGACCAAGUACGCAGAGCGUAGGAGCUGUUAUAGUUCCUUCUGUUCCACCACCGUCUCAGUCUACCCCUAAACGUAGAGGCUCUUCAAAAUGGAAAGCAUGGUCAUUUGACGAGGCACUCAUCGGAACAAGAGAGGAGAGAGAGCAAAUUCACCCUUUUUGAUACAAUCAGUCCCACUCUUCAACGACGGACAAGCUUCUCUAGUUUAGGAGAGAGUGUGAUGCAGUUGUUUACUGGAAAAUCCUGAAACAGUCUAAAGAAACAAGCUUCUGUUUAACCCUCUAACAUGAAGGCUUUGAAUUCAGCCGAGGGCGCAACCAGUGGAGUGCUGGUGACGGCUAAAAGAUGACAGAUUAGGAUUAGGAUCAUCAGUGGACACCUCUCUGGUUCAGUGGCAGUAUGAGUAAGAGGGUGUAAGUUAUUAUGUAUUAGAGAUACUAAGAUGCUCAGAAGGACUAAAUUGCGUAUUAGACAUACAUUAAUAAUCAUUAUUGUGGAUUGUAACAUGCUGGAUGCUUAUUGAUUCCUCAACAGACAAGGACAAGGCCAGGAGAUGACAGAAGUUUGUUUUUUAAAAGCAAGCAGCUUCAUGGGAUAUGAUUAGAGUGUAUCGAGAUAACAAGACUUUAAAUUGCAAGACAGAAUGAGUCAAACUUGGAUCGGAACUAUUGUACAUAAUUGUUUGUGACAGUUGUAAAUAGUUGUGUAGAUAAUGUUGUAUUUCUGACCAUUGAUGUGGUGAUGGUGGAUAUAACUUGAUCAUGCAUAUCAUAGAGCACAAAUAAACUUUUUUCAGGAAAGGAGUUCCCGAGACUUUAUACAGUGUAGAUAGAAAAUGUACAUAUCAGACAUUUGUAACCCAAGUUAUGUGAUAUAUAUGUUAUAUAGAGAGCUAUAAGUAAAUGAAAAUAACUUUUACUGUGAAAAGAGGUGCCAAUUUUAUUGUGUAUUUUUAUGUGGUCCAAUAAAAUUGUGUAUCCAUGCUAUUACCAUGGGCUGGGAUAUACCAUUUGUCUGCUGUGUCGACGCAAUUUAACCGGUUGGGGCCUGUCUGUUACACAUAGACAUGUUAGGCCUUUUGUGCAGGUGUCCCUCUACCAGAUAAAUUGCAUCGACCCGGUAUCAUAAUUAUAGUACUUGUUUGUAUAACUUGGCAUGUAGUGUUUUGUCCACAUUGGUAUGUUACUCGUUGCUAUACAUAGUAGAGUGCUACGGUGCUCAUUGUCGCAUAGUAGAUGUCUAUUAUAUGGUCAAGCAGUGCACCAAUCUAUUGGUAAACUGUGGCGCAUUGUUUCUUUUUCGUUAUAAACGAAUGGCUGAACUGACAACAACAUAAUGCUACAGAUACUGACAGACCUGUUGACAUUUCUUUUGGGUACACCCGUGGUGAACCAGAUUCGUACACUGCGUUACAAGGCAGAUCACGCCGGUGUUAGCACAAAUUUUACUGAACGAGGGGGUGUCUUUCCCUCAAGCAGAUAAUCUUUUCAUAGUGGUCACAUAUCUCAGUGUACACAUAGAGAGUUGGAUAUCUGCAAUUUAUAGCAAAUCUUAUAGGUAUGCUUAUAAACACCUGCGUACGUUGAAUCGCAUAGAAAAUGUAUUGAGAAAACCCCAACUUAUUUGUAUACGUAUUCGUAUCAAUAAUAGUGAGCUUUCGCACUGGCACAUUUAGCCAAACGACGCCAUUUAGGUUAUCAGAAUUUGCGCUCUAUUGACGUGUACACACAUUUUUUUCGGAUAGAAGUACCUCAUCACGCGUAUGUUAAAAGCAGAUAGUAAAACAAGUGCAUGUAACCAGUGAGUUGUCGUUCACACAUCGUUUUUUUUUGUUGAGGUUUUCUUCAUUCAUACCAUUAGACAUAUUUCAUGUUUGGUAUUUAGUUGUUGUUAUAUUUUCGUUUUGAAGUGAAUGGCCUAUCCUUGUGAAAGGCCAUGUUUCAAUUGAUAAGAUUGAGCAUUUCGCAGGUGAUCGGUUAAUGAUCGACUACUGUUAGUUAAUCAUUUUGGGUGCUCUUCUGACAUGUGCACAUGUUCCUAUUAGUCUCAAUCUGAUUUCCGACGUCUACCAAACUUGGUAGGUGUUUAUUAAAAACUUUUACAGAAUUCAUCUGCGGUUGUCCCAAUAAAGUCGGAAUAAGAUCAAGCUUUUUGGGAAAUACAUGUAGAUUCUUAAUACCCCACCUUUUAUUUGCUGUGGUUUUAUUUAUGGUCGUUUUAAGCUGUAAAUGCAACAUUCAUAGCCGUUGAAAUGUAAGCGCAAUAACCGUCCAAAGAAAUCCUGUCUGGCUUGUUGCGUUGGCUGCGCCAAACUAGGAACAUAAGUAUUUUUCAAUCAGAUAGCAGUUUAAGGAAAAAGGCAUCCCCUGGUAAUAACUGUCUCGCGGAAGUUCUCUUACAGGAUCGUCCUAUUUAAUCUGGUGUGAAAGUAAUUAGUAAUAGUCCUACCCUAUUGUUCACAGAUUUGUCAGGGAUUUAUGGCCAAUGAAACCAAUAUCUUGUACGAAUGUAAAAUUGAAUAUCUUAUUUCGCGUUUCUUUAUAAAAUGGGGUCAGGUGGAAUCGUGACUUCCAUUGUAAAUCUUCCUUUCACCCUGUCACAAUGGGGCGCCGACUAUUAGUCAAAUAAUGCAAUACUGGCUUGCAGUUAAGUGAAGAUUUUCAUACAUGAUAUGAUAUUAUCUGCAUCUAUAUAUAUUUUAAAGAUAUUUUACAUACGAUGGGUGAGGACGUAAAAUAUCUAUUCCCACGUAAGUAAUUCGUGGAGUUAUUUCCAAAGCAUUUGCUAUUUCAAGCCGCGUAGCCCAUGAACAAAAACCGUAUCUUGGUCGGGAAACGAUCUCAAUCGCUUAUGUUGGUAUAGACCUAAGGUUGAUGCCAUGUGACUUCUUCUUAUCAAACUGGCCUUAUUGGUAUGUGCCAUUUUGAAUCAAGAAGACACGUCAGGUUUAAGGAAAUCGAGAACUCGCGAUUACAAGUGUGCCCGUAACGUAGGAUAACGAGCAUUUCGAAGCAUGGUCUUAUUUCUUCAAGAUUACAAACUCCAUGUCCCAUUCAUGUUCCUUUCGGUUAUAUUAUUCAGAGCAGAUUAAAUCAGUAACAAAAAAGCCUAUGAAAUUGAUUGAGCCAGUAAACUAAAUCGUCGUUACUUUAACGACUAAUCGUCCUGGUAAAGCCCGUAGCACACUAGCCGCCAACUUCGGCGUUCACAAGCGUUUUUUGCCGCAAGAGUCCUGAAUGCCUGAAAAAUCCCUAGUCUGCUACAAACAGCGUCGGCGAACGCGACUUGCCGCCACUUGCCGCAACUAAACGCCAAAUAUCUAACAUGUUUGAUUUUUGACGCGUGUCGCCGCGUUUGAACGCAAGAAGAAGCCAGGUGUGCUACAAAUUGCCGCCUGGCGUCGACGGCGAGGCUAUGGCCAAUCAGUAUGCGUCUUGAUGUCACAUGAUUUCAAAAUGACAGCCUAAAGUGGCGGAAAAGACGCUACUGGACGCCGAUUCUGGGCAGGUGUGCUCUGACCGGGAUCCACUGGCCGCCAACUUCGGCGUCGAGAGGUGUCGGCUGAACGCUUCUUGUCGCCAAAGUUGGCGGCUAGUGUGCUGCGGGCUUUAGGUACGAAAAGUAUGGUCUUCAACUAUCCGUCUCGGCCUGACUGGCUGCAUUUGCGAUACGGGUCAAAACGAACCGUGUUACCGGUAAGGCUGGGUUCACAUAGGGCUGCAUGCAUGCUCUACGGUAUUCGGUGCACGUUACGUAGGCCACGGGUAUAGUAAAAAUCUAACAAGGUUGUGUCAAUCACCGGAUCACAUAGGACUGAACUAUUCGGAGGGUACCAUAUACACGAAUAGUCUGAAACGUGCAAGUAACGUGCACCGAAUACCGUGCAUCCUGAAUACCGUAUAGAGUAUAGUUCUAUGUGAACCCAGCCUAACGGAUACACAUACAUGUAGCUAAAUGUAGUCGGCUUCACUAAACUCGCAGUGCGAAGGCUCGCUAAUGCAACUUGAAUGCGGAUUCGAUUCCACCAGUGCCUUGUGGCUAAUUACAGCUCGCCAUACAAAUGCGUGAUAUUUGACCAAUGGCUGUCUCUGUCGAUGACUGAUGGUAGAAGACAGAUAUAAACCUAAGUGAAUUAGUGCACUGCUAGACGAUCUGAAUGAUAGGCAAUAUUAUGUCUGCAUUAGAUAAUGAUUGCACGUACUAGGUUGAACUCGUGACUCUGAGCAUUUCAUGGCCCUGCACAAUAAACCUUCACCAUGUAAACACGACAUACACGCCAUGCACCUACUCUAGUUUUACCGGUCUAAAACCGUUUCUAGAUAUUCAAGAAACAUGAAAUAUUAUACAUUAUUGUCAUUCGGUGGCAUUCAAUGUAUUUACCCAGGACCUGAAUCUUACUAAUCAAAUAGUAAGUUGAUGUAAUUGUACUUGAAACUUCAUAUUAGUAAAUUCACUUAACAUAUAUACAUGUUCAUCACAAAGGUUUUCGGUAGUUACAUACUACCCUCCUCAGGUGAACCCAUACAUGUGAGUACAAGAAGGUUGGCUGACCAGCCUUAUAACAUAAAGCAUAAAGUGAUUAUACUAAGCUCCGAAAAUUCCAAGCAUCAUGAAUGAUGAGCCCUGUUGUACUAGCUGCCUAUUCAGAAGUGGCUUUUGGGUUUUUUUACGCACAACGCCUCUUUGAUCCUUAAAGUGUUAUCACUCUGGGCUGUUGUUAACACAGAGAAAUUCUCACGAAGAGAGAUCCCACUUCCUAACUCCAACGAGACAUUCAAACCCCUAGGACAUUUUACUUGUGCCACCCCGAAUGUGGUAUACAUACUUAGAUGUAAUAAAUGUCCCCAAAUGUACAUUGAUGAAACUUCACAAACCCUAUGUCAACGUCUCAAUUGACACAAACGGUACAUCCGUAACAAAACAUAAAUCUUCCUAUCGGGGAACACUUUAAUCUUAGAGGACAUGGUCUUCACGACUUGAGAGUGACGGUUUUACAGGGUUCCUUGGCAGACACAGGAAAAAGACGUAUUUUAUGAGCAGAAGCUUAUCCACACAUUUAAUACCAUUAGUUGUGGCCUAAACCGGAACCCAGGCUUCCUGUCUCAUUACACCCUGUAAUUUAUCCCAUUGUUUUAGCAUCUUUAUAUUAUUUCUUUUUCAUUCAUGCUUGGAUCACCCGCUCUAAUUACUUUUUCUAGACUUUCCCUGACGUCGUUUGGAUAUCCUCGUUUCGUUAGAAUUGUGCUAACAUAUAUUGAUGUAAUUUUCCAAACCUUCUCAUAGCUGUUGAAGGCACAGUUAGUGCCGAAAGCUUAUCGGGUCCUCGGACUACAUAACAGUUGAUCAUGAAAAAGGUGUUAACUUCUCAAUUUCCCUGUGAUAUGGACAAUAACAUUUGUGAUAACCAUUAGAUCCGUCAAUUUAUGACAAAAUAGGGGCCAUUUUUGAAUGUGCACAAUUGACACAACCGACUCAGAUCACCUUUUAAAGCAGUGGGAAAGGUAAGCACACCUUGUACGGGGUGAGGCAAAAGAAAUCUCACCGUUGGCCUACAAACCUGACUGAUAAAAUGUGAUAACACAACUAACAUUUUCAACAAGAUUCUUUUUGUGGUGUUCAAGCAUAACGAAACCGUGUUUCUACUCUAAAUUUUCUUCAAAAUUAACAUCAUCAUUCCCUAUUUCAUCACGGUAAUGUCCAUCAGCCUCAUUUGUCAGUCCGGCCACGUGAAAAGCCUUGGAAACGGAUUCAGGGGCUACUGCAUCCCAUGCUCGACUAACAAUAGCUACAACCGACUGUUGAAAUUUUAUCACAGUUCCCGUCAUUGUCCGUUAUUUUCUAUCUUCCAUUGUUUCCAGUACUUUCUUACUGGGGCUUUAAAACCUCUCAUUAUUGUUAAGUCAAGAGGCUGUUCCAAAGAAUUCAAAAUAAUGUACAUCAGAUUUUAUGCGAGGUUUAAAUUUACACCUCGAGGAUGUUAACUUUUGCGUCUAGAGUAGGGUUCUGGUAGCAAAAUGAGUUUGAUCAAAAGUGUGCCUUCAAAAUGUACCUCAUAAGUAUAAGGGCUGGCGUUUACAUGAACCCGUAUAUUCGUUGAUUAAUCUAAGUCGACACAAAGGCGAAGAAGGCAUAGCCGGUAACAUCAUCACCAUCGGCCAACUUGGUGUCGCCAACUCAUUGUCCAUCCAGAUUCAUGAGUUUGAAUAUAUUGAAUGGCAUCGAACGACAAUUAUGUAUGAUAAUUCUUAUUUUGGUUUACAAUGUGAUUCUUAUUUUUGCCUCUAAAUUUGUGUUUUCUGUCGAUUUUCUCCUUGAAAUCUAUCAUUACAGGUCUUAUUAUUUUUCAUAGCCUAGCUGAAUGUGUAUGCAGUUUUGUCCCUCAUCAGAUUUAUUUCAUCGCAUAAAUUGCUGGGUUUUUUGGAAAAGGUGUUUUUAUGGUCAUUUGUCCGUUUAUUUCGUGGAUAUUUUGGGUGAUGUCCGUUUACUCGAUAACUGCUUUUAAAAUCAAAUAAAGUUUUUUUAUGUAUUUGAUGUGAAUUAAUAUUACUAUCAGUCCAGUUGGAUUGUGGUUGGACGUUGACUGUUGAACAUUUGCGAGAAUGACAAAAAUAUGUUCACAUUGUUGACAGUAUAUUCUCUUAAUGAAUUAAAACAUUUCCCUUUGAGAUUGCCGGAUUGUAGAAUAGAACGUGAUCGACCAACGUGGUGUUUCUCGCCAACAUUCAUGUGUGCAUGUUUUAUUGGCUCACCGUAGGGGAGUCUAUACAACACCGCUGUGUCCGUCGUCCGUCGUCGUUGUCUGUAUCCUGUUUUGAAAACAGUUUCUUAACCGCUGAAGCUAUGAACUUGAAACUUUGUGCACAGGACCCCCAAGGUCAGGCUACCUCUGACAAUGAAUUUCAAUUCGAUCUCAUUCUUGACUUGUCCACCAGGGGGCCAGAAGUGGAAACCUAAAAAGUGUGAUAUCUCUUAUGAGUGAAUUGCUUUCGAUAAAGUGUUUAUGGUAGGUUCUCCUAGCAAGGAUACAUCACAUAUCGUACGGGCUUUUCAUUUGACGUACUCUUAAAGGUCACAGAGGUCAAAUGGCGUAAAAUGGCCGUUUGAAUGUAACUAUGGCACGUUUCUUAACCGCUAAAGCUAUCAACUUUAAAUUUGGUACACAUGACUCCCUAGGUCAUGUACCCUCUGACACUGAAUUUCAGUCCGAUCUGAUUCUUGACCUAGCCUCCAGGGGGCCAGCAGUGGAAACCUAAAAAGUGUGAUAUCUCUCUGAUGAGUGACUCGUUUUCGAAAAAAAUUAUGGUAGUUUCUCCUAGCAAGGAUACAUCAUAUAUUGUACGGUUUUUGAUUUGACCUACUUUUCAACGUCACAGAGAUCAAAUGGCGUAAAUUGACCGUUUCGUUGUAACUAUGGCACGUUUCUUAACCGCCAACGCCAUCAACUUGAAAUUUGGUACGCAUGACUCCCUACGUCAUGUGACCGAUCUGAUCUGAUUCUCGACUUCGCCACCAGAAGGCCAAAACUAAAAAGUUAAAAAGUGCAAUAUCUCGCUUAUUAGUGACUUGUUUUCUAUUAUAUUUUUAUGGUAGGUUCUCCAAGCAACGAUGCAUCACAUGUCAUACCGACUUUGGCUUGACAUAUACAAUACAUGUAGAAUGUUUCUAAACCAGGACGAAUUCCUAACCACCAAAUUUCUAUGCGGUGAGCACAAUGGCCCCUAGCAGUUUCAUAUGUUUAUUGCAAUUUAUUUCUCAUUUUUGAAGAUAAUUUCGACGUGUUCUUAUAGAGUAUUGCGUAAUGGUUUUUGAAUGAAUACUUCCAUGAGUGCGGACCGCCUUCUAAGUUUUUAAGGCGAUAAAUUGAAUCGAAGAUAUUAAAACGACUGACGUGUUGGUCCAUUAGAUUGCUUUGAUUUCUAAUUAUAACUCUACUUUCGUCAUCCCCAUGUUUUAAAGUAUGCAUCCAAUCUCUUGCAAGAGAAGAUCAAUACCGUAAAGGUGUCUUUGUUGACAAUUUUCAUGUUGACAUAUCUCUGUUUACAUUUUCUGGUUGGUCAACCAUUUUGUAUGAAGGUCUUGUGACCUUUGUAUGUUUUUAGUAUAUCAAAUAUGGAAGUUGGCUAAGCUGCAGGCCAGAUUCGAGACAUGCUUCAGGGGACUUUAGGUAAUUUCACUACUGAAGAUAGAUUGAUGGACUCUACUAUGUCUACCCUACAUUAAUGAGAAAGUAUUGAUUUGGAACACCGAACAGCUCAUGAGUCAUGUAGGACUAAAAAAUAUGGAGCGGCUCCUGUACUUGUAUUUAAUUGGCGUAGCCCCAGAGAAAGCUUUUUACUUUUACCUAAAAGUGCUGCCACCUGUAAAGUGGCGAUUCCUCCUCAGUAAUAAGGUACAAGUACCGGUACUAGCUCUAGCAUCGUGAGAAAAUCAGGCGGUGUUACUGCCACUUCUUGAUUUCUUAAGGAUGCUAGGGAUCCGGAACAGCUCCUGAUGGACUCGACAGUAUUUUUCACAUCAUAAACUACAACAUUUAUAUACAGCAGUGUGGCUCUAAUCUACAUAAUACUCUCUACGUAGCCAUAACGAAGUAAGUACACUAUAUAACACAUUUUCUGAAAACUUCAUGACAUGACAUCUGGGUUUAAGAAGGAGUUGCUGUUGUGUUGUCCUUUUGACCUCACUUGGGCUGUGGCCCUCGAUAUUACCUAAGUUUCAGUGGCCUGUGGUCUAACCAAUUCCAACCUCGUUUACCCAGGGGUCAUUGCGCGGUCCUGUGGUCACUUGCACCGACCCUGGUAUCAUGUUGAGCUAAAGCAUAUUUGAUUGGUCAACGAAUAACGUUUGACAUGCAAAUAAGAUGUAAACAAUGUUUUGACACUUGGCAUAUUCAUGGCCUAUUGAAUCGGCGAAAAAGGCGACUUAUCAGUCUACAUAACCAUUUACCCUGAUCCGAUCACAAAUCAAUUGACGGCAUGAUAGAACUUCAUGGACACGGAUAAUAUAUGAGCUAAUGCUGAUAUAAAAGAUUAAUUGCCUCCACAAGAAAAUUGCGUCAAUUAGUCUGGCAAUGCGGGCACUCCAAGCAAAAUAGAACCGAAGAAACACGUGUUACAAUACCCAAUCGCGCGAGCACCGUGAAAAUAUCAUUUCAAAAUCCCUUUUGAUAAUUCAUAUUUAUAUUUAAGACUUCUUCCUGAGAUAAUUGGUCAAUUUACAGUUAUUUGAUCGGCUACAUGUUGAAACAGUGCCGACACGUAGUGCCCGAAUAGACGGGUCAUAGGUCAAACUUACUACGUCACUCCCCAGAUUCUGGCGGUGACUAUCGAUUUGACGUACACGAGUAUCCAGGGUCAAGUGGUGCAGCCAUUUUGAACCAACCUGACGCAGAUAGGCUUGUCUUGCGUUAUUAUUCGCCAAAAUAUCGCGCGUUUGUAAGGCGAGCUGUAAUUGGGACAAGGCACAAGGCACAAGGCACUGGUGCAAUCGAACCCGCAUUCAUGUUAGAUUAUUUUACGAAUACGUCAUCACAUAAGUUGGGGUUUUCUCAAGUCGUCAUUAGCGAGCUUUCGCACCGCACGGUGAGUCAAGCCGACUACAUUUAGCUGUGCGUAUCCGUAACCGGCAAGACGGUUUGUUUUGACCCGUUUCGCAAAUGAUGCCGGUCAGGCCUAGACGGAUAAUAUUAUUGUUGACGACCAUGCUUCGUACCUACCAGUAAGUUACGUCAAUUUAGUUUACUGGCUUAAUCAAUUUCUAUUUUUGUUUGUUACCUGAAGAAUGUGAUCGAAAGGAACAUGCAUGAGACAUGGUGUUUGUCGUCCCUGUGGUUCAUAGCACUCGUUACUCUCCGUUACGGGCGUACUUGUUAUCACGGAUAACGAGCAGAGCGCAAGUUCUCAAUUUCCUACAGCAUGACGUGUCAACUUGAUUUGAAACGGCAAAUACCAAUAAGGCCAUUUUGAAGAGAAGAAGUCACAUGCAUCAAUCUAAGGUCUAUAUCAAAAUAAGCGAUCGAGAGCGUUUCCCGACGAAGAUACGUUUUUCUACGUGGGCAACGCGACGUAAAAUAACAAAUGCCUUGGAAGGAACUCUCCGAAUCACUUAUGUGGGUUUAGGCCUUUUACGUCCUCGCCCAUUCGAUGUAAAAUAUAUAGAUACAGAUAUUAUUAUAUCAUGAAUGACAAUAAAGUUUUCAU
RNA transcript from Lineus longissimus, 13108 nucleotides. It is a transcript of the gene named SCY1-like protein 2, with no coding region annotated. The transcript has 24 exons. The record is from RefSeq and is a predicted model, not a curated record. NCBI's taxonomy places the organism in Eukaryota, Metazoa, Nemertea, Pilidiophora, Heteronemertea, Lineidae.